GGGGGUAACUGGAUUUGACAGCACGUAGAAACGGUAAGUAAGCAUGCAGAGCUUUGAUGUGCAAGCUCUAUAAUAACAACGCAUCGACCUAUAAUUGGCGAAAAUAACAAUUACGCUCUCGCUGCCUAAACUGAAGUAUAGUAGGUUGGCUUUAUUUUUCUCAAAGUGAGAAAAACGAGACAUCAUCCCAUUGCCCCGUUCCGAGACGUUUGGAAAAGAUGGUGCUGAGAAAUUCGGAAAUAGGAUCUGCAGAGCCUUGAUGCAGAUUUGAAAUUAAAAGGAUAAGGUGAAGAUUGGUUGCUUCUGACCUGUUUUCAUUCGAAAAUCAAUCAGAGAGCUAAGCAUGUAGAAAGCUUAUUGGGUCCGUGAUUGGACGAGGGUUCGACUCCCUCUACCUCCACUA
This 403-nucleotide transfer-messenger RNA is filed under the name Muribaculaceae bacterium. It matches the Rfam family "transfer-messenger RNA". Rfam says of the family: Bacterial tmRNA, also known as 10Sa RNA or SsrA, is named for its dual tRNA and mRNA-like properties. Its role is to liberate the mRNA from a stalled ribosome. The record is from RNAcentral. Lineage: Bacteria; Pseudomonadati; Bacteroidota; Bacteroidia; Bacteroidales; Muribaculaceae.